Molecule: unclassified non-coding RNA, 509 nt
Filed under: Hevea brasiliensis (rubber tree)
Lineage: Eukaryota; Viridiplantae; Streptophyta; Magnoliopsida; Malpighiales; Euphorbiaceae
Source: RNAcentral
UCGAUGAGAAUCUCUACAUCAUAACAAGUUUUUGCUCAUUUCCAAGGUAAAUAAAUUAUCAUUUACUGUAUGAUGACAGAACAAAGCAAAUGUGAUUUCAACAAAAUAAUUUACCCUAUGGGAGCUUAAGGUGCUUAUUGGCAUGGUUUUUGCCAAGAAGCAGAAAGAGCAAAGACUUGUCAUGAUGUAGAGAUUCUCAUCGAUAUGACUUGAGAUGGAAAACUUGGCAGGUAGGCUUAUAUGACCUUUUUACUGAAGCAUGCUCAAACUUCUUUGCAGCAGCUUCAUUCUCUUCUAAGCUGUUCUGAAGAAAGCCACCAUGUUGAGCUCCGAAAUUUGGCUGGACGGCCAAACUUAGAUAAAUCAGCAACCUUUGCUUUACGCUGACCUGGAUAGCCAGAAAAUAUAACAACACCACCAGAAGACACCCUUGCCAAUUCAGGAAGAGUUUUGUUGAGAUAUCUAGGAGACAAGUAAUCCAACGCAUCUGAAAUUAUAACAAGAGAAAA